AUUACGAGCGAAGGAGACGCCAGGAUGCGUCUAUGGCGGAGCUAUGGCGGAGCUGGCGGCGGUGGUAGGCUGUGAUAAGGUUGCCUCCAAAGGCGACAUUAUAUUGAAUAUACUUAUACGGCUACUAAAACGUAAUGCUGGGAAAGAAGUCUUAAAAGAACUACAUCAUACAAAUGAUAAUGAUAAUGACCUAAUGAGGCAAAAAUUUUUGAAUUACGACAAAGAUUAGAAGCCUUUGACAGCGGAGGAGCAGAUAUAGAAGAUUUUGUAAAGUAGCAGCCGUUCUUUUCCAUAUAGGAGCAGAGUGUAAUUUUAGUAUUGAUU
Molecule: unclassified non-coding RNA, 324 nt
Filed under: Melitaea cinxia (Glanville fritillary)
Lineage: Eukaryota; Metazoa; Arthropoda; Insecta; Lepidoptera; Nymphalidae
Description: misc RNA ENSMCXG00005012024.1
Source: RNAcentral